GCAAGCAAGCAUCAAUGUAAGUGAUGGAGUGUGAACUAACAGUACAAGAGUGAAAAGGUUAGUAUUUCUAACAGAAAUGCAUGGAAUGAGAACCUGAAUACUUUAUGAAAGUCGGUAAGUUAUGUGAACUUUAAACUAUGAGAGAACGAUUAGUUUUAAUUUCCUGAUUUUGCAUGAUUCUUGGAUUGUUUGAAUGCAUGCAUGGUGUGGAGAUGAUCCAAGCCAUUUUUGUUAUUUUAUUACAGCUACUUAGCCAAAUAGCCAUCUUGUAAAUAAAUGUGUCCCUUGCACCCUUUUUGAGCCUAAUGUAAUUUUUUUUGUCAUUGGAACCUGUUAAUGCUCAGAAAAUAGUUUGCACUACUGUGAAAUUUAUCCGCAAGUGUACUGAGUCACAAGUAAUAUAAAAGGGUAAGAACCGAGUAUCGAAUCAUAGGGAGUUUGUUUCAUUUAGGAAGGCGUCCAUUCAAUAAGUAGACAUUUAUAUAAAACCAGGAAAUAGAAAUAAGCAAAGAUAUUUUCUGUAAUCCCUAAGUUAACUACAAAAUUAACUACCUAAAUGUGAGAGAUAAACAAAUGAUUAAAACGUUGGGUCCUUCUACUGAGUGACUUGAUGCAAUUAGGUAUUUUUCUCUAUUUAAGGUUGUUUAUGUGUUCUAUGCUGAGGGAAACUACCCCAAACCACGAUUCCUAACAUGAAUGGGCUAAUUCUAUUUAAACCUCGUUCUCGGAUCCCUCGUCAAACUUAGCCUAAAUGAAUUGCAUUAAGAUUACAACAUAUUAAAAACUAAAUCCUUGCACUCUGUGUCCAGACAUAUAGUUCUCUAGCUUGUUCUAUCCAGUUCUAAGGAUUUAAAACACUUUCCAAUGCUAAAAAUCCUAACUUUACACACAAAUGGGAGAUCAGUCCACAAACAUGUAAGAAUUAAAUGCAGAUAGAAGCAAUGAACACAUAAAAACCACUUUAAAUAGAUAGUAGAGAGUUUUACAUCAAGGCUCAACAGAAAUUCCCAACAAGAAACUUAGCCUUCCAUUGCAAGUUAUCACCUUUCAACAACAAGAUGAGGUUUUUGAAGUAAAAUUAAGAUUACAUAGUGGUGAGGAUGUCUCCUCCACCUCUAGAAACCUAAAAAUCACUCCUAAACCUAGAAUCCUCUUGAAAGUUGAGAUCUUUGGCUCUGUUGCGUCUCUCUUCACAAAAACUAUCAGGCCUCCCAAUUUUUCGCCAACUUUAGCUUUUAAGGGCUUUCUAUCCUCGAAGUCUCGCUUAGCGCCAUUUUCGCAUUAAGCGAGAGUUAGUGACUUUUGGCUUAGCGAGCGAGGCGCGCUUAGCACCAGAGGAGACAAAUGACUCGUUGGGUGAGCUGAUGGUGGGCUGAGCGCAUGUAUGCUUGGCAUAUUCUCCUAACUCGCUAAGCGAGUUGAGUGCCUCGCUUAGCGAGACACCAGUUGCUUCAACCUUCUUAUUCUUCAUCUUUUCACCUGAAACUGAAGUUGAACCACAUUAAUUCACAAUGAAGGGGAUAUCUACUGAAUAAAAACUAAACUAAACAUAAAAGUAUGUACAAACCUACAAAAAGAACCAUAAAUUGGGGGAAAGACAAUUUUAUAAAGCUUUUCAAUACAAAAGUUAGUUGUAAAUGACGACUAACAGAACCUAAGCCUAAAAAUUUGAUAUUGACUAACUACCCUUUCUUAGGUUAUAGAAGAGUACUCACGAAUUCAGAAAAAUUUGUCCCAAAUUUGGGAGAGUGUUUUUUGGGUGAAUUUUAUUGUAGGAAAAUGAAUAAACAACACAAAUCAAAUUGACCCACAUUAUAUGGUAUUACUGCAACCUAGUAUGAAUGUCUAUUACUUUUUGCAUCAAAAAAAUUUAUUUAUUUUAAAGAAUAAAAGCUAGGGUAAACCAUCAUUAAAGAAAAUGGUUGUGCUGAAAAGAGUAGCAAAACAAUAAGGUUGAUGUUGUGAAAAAUUCUAAGUUGUGAUUUGUCAACAAUUUGGGGGAAUAAAUGCUCUCCUAGAUCCUAAGCUUUUAAUCCUAAAAAAACCAUGAUUUCUUUGUUAGCUCAGCCACACUACAAGCCUAAUAAAGUCCUUAGUGAUCCACAUUAUAUAUGUAUGAUUGCAUUGGCUGAGAUGAUGUGCAAAGUUGAGAAUUUUACUAUUAAGUUAUUAUAAUUGAAACACUUUGAACUAAGACACUUGUGGGAUUGAGAGAAACACUAGCCUUGUGAGGACUGAAGUUUGGGGAUACUUCCUUGUGGUCUGUCAUUCUUGCUAACUAUUUCAUUUAAAGUUCAUCGUGUUAUGCUCCUUUCAUGAACUUAUGACAAAUGUGAACUUGAGAAUUGACCAAUGAAACUUUUUGGAAUGUAUGCAGUUAUCUAAUGAAUUGUGAUUAGUAAACUCUAAACUUUUUCUUAGUGUAAUUAGUUACUUUUGCUUAAGGACAAGCAAAACUUUAAAUUUAGGGGAGUUUGAUAACUACUAUGUAUAAGUAUAUUUUGGGAAUAAAUUACAUAGGCAUUGAUCAUUUGUCUUUCUUAUUUCUUCCUUUUUGUGCAAUAAUUGUUAUUUUAAUAUCAUUUAAGUUUUUGUGCAGAAAAUAUUAAAAGUUGAUGAAUUUGUGGUUAUUAUUGAAUAAUUGGUGCAGAAAAGAGAAAAUUUGAAAUUUGAAAGGGCGCGCUCAAUGCGUCCCAAGCACUAAGCACGAGGCACAAGCUUAGUAGACACAAGCUUAGUGACAGGAAGCAGAACUAAUUUAGGAAAGCAGGCUAAUUCAGGAAAGAGACGUGCUUAGCGUGAAUCAUGUGCUAAGUACGAGGUUACCGCCAUUCUCACUCAGCGCGGAAAGUGCGUUCAAUGCGAAGGUUACAUGGAAACUAAGCUGAUCUACGCCUAUAAAAGAAGGAGAGAGAAGAAGGAAAAAACACAGAAAUUCCAAUAGAAUACAAUUCCUUAUAGAAGGCAAAGACUAGAAGAAGGAGAAGCAAACAUUGGGAGUCAUUCCUUUCCUCCACCCCCUUUCUCAAAUUCCCCAUUUACUAAAUAUUCCCCUCUUGUAAUUGUAAAGCCUCCUAUGAUAAUGAGAGGCUAAACCCCCCUUUGUUAGGAACUUGGCAAGCCAGUUAUUCUUGAUGUAAUUUCUCUGCCUAUCCAUUUAAUAUUAUUACUUUUUGCAUUAUCUUUUCCUGUGCUUAAUUUUAUUGCUUAUGGUUUGAUCACCCAUUUGCAUGGUAAGUUUUAGG
RNAcentral lists this long non-coding RNA (3245 nucleotides) under Glycine max (soybean). RNAcentral's name for it is "long non-coding RNA (GMAX_LNC003569)". Lineage: Eukaryota; Viridiplantae; Streptophyta; Magnoliopsida; Fabales; Fabaceae. The record is from RNAcentral.